GGGACAGUGCAGACCUGCAGUGACUCAGUCACGAGCCAAGGGACACGGGCACCCCAGAAACUGAGGGUCGGGGGAGACUCCCUCCCGGAGCCUCCGGCGGGGGCCAGGCUCUCACAACACCUUGAACUAGGAUCUCUGGGCUCCAAAACCGCGGGAGAGGCGGGUGCUGGCUUUCGUCUGCUGCACGCACCACUGGCGACAACAGUCCAGCGUGUGACUCAGCCCCGGGGGUCAGGCCGGCUCACCGUCCAGUGCUCCCCGUGGACCCGCAGCCUCACAGGGACGAGAGGAGCCUCAGGGCCAACAGGGCCUAGGUCGCCGUGACCCUGCCCGCACCCCUCCUCGUCUCCUGUCUGCUUUGGCCUGGGAGCCGCUGAGCAAGGGUCUUUCCCGGAGCAAAAGUGUUGCAACUGGACCGGGU
This is a long non-coding RNA of Suricata suricatta (meerkat), 421 nucleotides long. RefSeq lists it as uncharacterized. The record is from RefSeq and is a predicted model, not a curated record. The transcript has 3 exons. NCBI's taxonomy places the organism in Eukaryota, Metazoa, Chordata, Mammalia, Carnivora, Herpestidae.